This 400-nucleotide ribosomal RNA is filed under the name uncultured bacterium. RNAcentral describes it as "bacterial SSU rRNA". It matches the Rfam family "Bacterial small subunit ribosomal RNA", at positions 28 to 431 of the family's 1533-position model. The record is from RNAcentral.
GACGAACGCUGGCGGCGUGCUUAACACAUGCAAGUCGAGCGGUAAGGCCCUUUCGGGGGUACACGAGCGGCGAACGGGUGAGUAACACGUGGGUGACCUGCCCUUAGCUCUGGGAUAAGCCUGGGAAACUGGGUCUAAUACCGGAUAUGACUCCAUGACGCAUGUUGUGGGGUGGAAAGCCUUGUGCGGCUAGGGAUGGGCCCGCGGCCUAUCAGCUUGUUGGUGGGGUGAUGGCCACCAAGGCGACGACGGGUAGCCGGCCUGAGAGGGCGACCGGCCACACUGGGACUGAGACACGGCCCAGACUCCUACGGGAGGCAGCAGUGGGGGAAUCUUGCGCAAUGGGCGAAAGCCUGACGCAGCGACGCCGCGUGAGGGAUGACGGCCUCGGUUGUAACGU